ACUUAAAUAGCUUAUAAUUAGAGCAUAAUAUUGAAGAUAUUAAGGAAAUAACUUUAUUUUUAAGUA
This 66-nucleotide transfer RNA is filed under the name Vesperus conicicollis. RNAcentral's name for it is "tRNA-Phe". Lineage: Eukaryota; Metazoa; Arthropoda; Insecta; Coleoptera; Cerambycidae. The record is from RNAcentral. RNAcentral also lists the same sequence under 1 other name.